CAGUGCUCGUCGGGACGUCCCGCCUCCGGGCGUGUUGGCGUCUCGCACCUGCCCUACCCGUGUCUACCUUUUCCUCUGUUGCUUCGGCGGGCCACGUCCAGCGUACCCACGCUGUACGGACCGGGGGUCCCCGCCGCGUACCCACGCGGCGCCCCCUGGUUAGCGCCCGUCAGAGGACCGUGUGAACCCUUUGCGAAUACGUGACGAGUCUGAGAUUGUGUGGGAAUACUUCAA
Molecule: unclassified non-coding RNA, 234 nt
Filed under: uncultured Ascomycota
Lineage: Eukaryota; Fungi; Ascomycota
Description: sequence contains ITS1
Source: RNAcentral